Molecule: ribosomal RNA, 301 nt
Filed under: uncultured bacterium
Lineage: Bacteria
Description: partial 16S ribosomal RNA
Rfam family: Bacterial small subunit ribosomal RNA
Source: RNAcentral
CAGUUGCCACGGGAAUACGAAGGGGGCUAGCGUUGCUCGGAAUCACUGGGCGUAAAGGGAGCGUAGGCGGACCGUUUAGUCAGGGGUGAAAUCCCGGGGCUCAACCUCGGAACUGCCUUUGAUACUGGCGAUCUUGAGUAUGGGAGAGGUGUGUGGAACUCCGAGUGUAGAGGUGAAAUUCGUAGAUAUUCGGAAGAACACCAGUGGCGAAGGCGACACACUGGCCCAUUACUGACGCUGAGGCUCGAAAGCGUGGGGAGCAAACAGGAUUAGAGACCCCCGUAGUCCCUGUCUCUUAUAC